UACCCAAUCCUGACACAGGGAGGUAGUGACAAGAAAUACCAAUAUGAGGCUCUUUUGUCUUGUAAUUGGAAUGAGCACAAUUCAAAAAGCUGUUCGAGUAUCGAUUGGAGGGCAAGUCUGGUGCCAGCAGCCGCGGUAAUUCCAGCUCCAAUAGCGUAUAUUAAAGUUGUUGCGGUUAAAAAGCUCGUAGUUGGAGUUCUGCCAGGUGCCGCCUGUCCGCCCCAGUGGUGAGUACGUGGCGCGCAUUUGGCCCUUUCAAGGGGAGCGUAUCUGCACUUUAUUGUGUGGUGCGGGAUCCUUGACUUUUACUUUGAGGAAAUAGGAGUGUUCCAAGCAGGCUCUCGUCGUGCACAGCUCAGCAUGGAAUAAUAGCAUUGGACCUCUAUUCUAAGCUGUUGGUUGCCAGAAGCGAGGUAAUGAUGAAGAGGGAUAGUUGGG
Molecule: ribosomal RNA, 438 nt
Filed under: uncultured marine Syndiniales
Lineage: Eukaryota; Dinophyceae; Syndiniales
Description: SSU rRNA
Rfam family: Eukaryotic small subunit ribosomal RNA
Source: RNAcentral